CCUANGGGGGGCAGCAGUGAGGAAUAUUGGUCAAUGGGCGCAAGCCUGAACCAGCCAUCCCGCGUGAAGGAAGAAGGCGCUAUGCGUUGUAAACUUCUUUUCCAGGGGAAUAAAAUUUUGUACGUGUACAGAAUUGAAGGUACCUUGGGAAUAAGCAUCGGCUAACUCCGUGCCAGCAGCCGCGGUAAUACGGAGGAUGCAAGCGUUAUCCGGAUUUAUUGGGUUUAAAGGGUGCGCAGGCGGAAAAAUAAGUCAGUGGUGAAAACCUGCAGCUUAACUGUAGAAUUGCCAUUGAUACUGUUAUUCUUGAGUAUGGUCAAGGUAGGUGGAAUGUGUAAUGUAGCGGUGAAAUGCUUAGAUAUUACACAGAACACCGAUUGCGAAGGCAGCUUACUGGGCCAUUACUGACGCUCAUGCACGAAAGCGUGGGGAUCGAACAGGAUUAGAUACCCGANUANUC
Molecule: ribosomal RNA, 460 nt
Filed under: uncultured bacterium
Lineage: Bacteria
Description: bacterial SSU rRNA
Rfam family: Bacterial small subunit ribosomal RNA
Source: RNAcentral